UACGUAGGGGGCGAGCGUUGUCCGGAAUCAUUGGGCGUAAAGAGCGUGUAGGCGGCUUGGCAAGUCUGACGUGAAAUCCCGCGGCUCAACCGCGGUAGGUCGUUGGAAACUGCCUCGCUAGAGUCCGGAAGAGGAGAGCGGAGUUCCUGGUGUAGCGGUGGAAUGCGCAGAUAUCAGGAAGAACACCCGUGGCGAAGGCGGCUCUCUGGGACGGUACUGACGCUGAGACGCGAAAGCGUGGGGAGCGAACAGG
Molecule: ribosomal RNA, 253 nt
Filed under: uncultured bacterium
Lineage: Bacteria
Description: partial 16S ribosomal RNA
Rfam family: Bacterial small subunit ribosomal RNA
Source: RNAcentral